Molecule: ribosomal RNA, 792 nt
Filed under: uncultured bacterium
Lineage: Bacteria
Description: bacterial SSU rRNA
Rfam family: Bacterial small subunit ribosomal RNA
Source: RNAcentral
AGAGUUUGAUCAUGGCUCAGAUUGAACGCUGGCGGCAUGCUUUACACAUGCAAGUCGAACGCGAAAGGGGGCAACCCUGAGUAGAGUGGCGCACGGGUGAGUAAUGCAUCGGAACGUGUCCUGUAGCGGGGGAUAACUUAGCGAAAGCUAAGCUAAUACCGCAUACGUCCUACGGGAGAAAGUGGGGGAUUCGCAAGAACCUCACACUAUAGGAGCGGCCGAUGCCGGAUUAGCUAGUUGGUGGGGUAAAGGCUCACCAAGGCGACGAUCCGUAGCUGGUCUGAGAGGAUGAUCAGCCACACUGGGACUGAGACACGGCCCAGACUCCUACGGGAGGCAGCAGUGGGGAAUUUUGGACAAUGGGGGCAACCCUGAUCCAGCCAUGCCGCGUGAGUGAAGAAGGCCUUCGGGUUGUAAAGCUCUUUCGGCCGGGACGAAAUCGCAUGGGUGAAUAUCCUGUGUGGAUGACGGUACCGGAAGAAGAAGCACCGGCUAACUACGUGCCAGCAGCCGCGGUAAUACGUAGGGUGCGAGCGUUAAUCGGAAUUACUGGGCGUAAAGCGUGCGCAGGCGGUUUUGUAAGCCAGAUGUGAAAUCCCCGGGCUCAACCUGGGAACUGCAUUUGGGACUGCAAGGCUUGAGUACGGCAGAGGGGGGUAGAAUUCCUGGUGUAGCAGUGAAAUGCGUAGAUAUCAGGAGGAAUACCGAUGGCGAAGGCAGCCCCCUGGGUCGAUACUGACGCUCAUGCACGAAAGCGUGGGGAGCAAACAGGAUUAGAUACCCUAGUAGUCC